RNAcentral lists this ribosomal RNA (429 nucleotides) under Bacteroidota bacterium. Its description in RNAcentral is "Bacteroidetes bacterium partial 16S ribosomal RNA". It matches the Rfam family "Bacterial small subunit ribosomal RNA", at positions 355 to 776 of the family's 1533-position model. The record is from RNAcentral. Lineage: Bacteria; Pseudomonadati; Bacteroidota.
UAGGGAAUCUUCGGCAAUGGGGGGAACCCUGACCGAGCAACGCCGCGUGAGUGAAGAAGGUUUUCGGAUCGUAAAACUCUGUUAUUAGGGAAGAACAAAUGUGUAAGUAACUAUGCACAUCUUGACGGUACCUAAUCAGAAAGCCACGGCUAACUACGUGCCAGCAGCCGCGGUAAUACGUAGGUGGCAAGCGUUAUCCGGAAUUAUUGGGCGUAAAGCGCGCGUAGGCGGUUUUUUAAGUCUGAUGUGAAAGCCCACGGCUCAACCGUGGAGGGUCAUUGGAAACUGGAAAACUUGAGUGCAGAAGAGGAAAGUGGAAUUCCAUGUGUAGCGGUGAAAUGCGCAGAGAUAUGGAGGAACACCAGUGGCGAAGGCGACUUUCUGGUCUGUAACUGACGCUGAUGUGCGAAAGCGUGGGGAUCAAACAGG